CCUACGGGAGGCAGCAGUGAGGAAUAUUGGUCAAUGGACGAGAGUCUGAACCAGCCAAGUAGCGUGAAGGAUGACUGCCCUAUGGGUUGUAAACUUCUUUUAUAUGGGAAUAAAAUGUUCCACGUGUGGGAUUUUGUAUGUACCAUAUGAAUAAGGAUCGGCUAACUCCGUUCCAGCAGCCGCGGUAAUACGGAGGAUCCGAGCGUUAUCCGGAUUUAUUGGGUUUAAAGGGAGCGUAGGUGGAUUGUUAAGUCAGUUGUGAAAGUGUGCGGCUCAAACGUAAAAUUGCAGUUGAAACUGGCAGUCUUGAGUACAGUAGAGGUGGGCGGAAUUCGUGGUGUAGCGGUGAAAUGCUUAGAUAGCACGAAGAACUCCGAUUGCGAAGGCAGUUCACUGGACUGCAACUGACACUGAGGCUCGAAAGUGUGGGUAUCAAACAGGAUUAGAUACCCGUGUAGUC
RNAcentral lists this ribosomal RNA (460 nucleotides) under uncultured bacterium. RNAcentral describes it as "partial 16S ribosomal RNA". It matches the Rfam family "Bacterial small subunit ribosomal RNA", at positions 338 to 795 of the family's 1533-position model. The record is from RNAcentral.